AGUGAACGCUGGCGGUAGGCCUAACACAUGCAAGUCGAACGGCAGCACAGUAAGAGCUUGCUCUUACGGGUGGCGAGUGGCGGACGGGUGAGGAAUACAUCGGAAUCUACUUUUUCGUGGGGGAUAACGUAGGGAAACUUACGCUAAUACCGCAUACGACCUACGGGUGAAAGCAGGGGAUCUUCGGACCUUGCGCGAUUGAAUGAGCCGAUGUCGGAUUAGCUAGUUGGCUGGGUAAAGGCCCACCAAGGCGACGAUGCGUAGCUGGUCUGAGAGGAUGAUCAGCCACACUGGAACUGAGACACGGUCCAGACUCCUACGGGAGGCAGCAGUGGGGAAUCUUGGACAAUGGGCGAAAGCCUGAUCCAGCAAUGCCGCGUGGGUGAAGAAGGCCUUCGGGUUGUAAAGCCCUUUUGUUGGGGAAGAAAAGCAGCAGGUUAAUCCCUGGCUGUUCUGACGGUACCCAAAGAAUAAGCACCGGCUAACUUCGUG
Molecule: ribosomal RNA, 492 nt
Filed under: uncultured bacterium
Lineage: Bacteria
Description: partial 16S ribosomal RNA
Rfam family: Bacterial small subunit ribosomal RNA
Source: RNAcentral